Molecule: ribosomal RNA, 253 nt
Filed under: uncultured bacterium
Lineage: Bacteria
Description: partial 16S ribosomal RNA
Rfam family: Bacterial small subunit ribosomal RNA
Source: RNAcentral
UACGGAGGGUGCAAGCGUUAAUCGGAAUUACUGGGCGUAAAGCGCACGCAGGCGGUUUGUUAAGUCAGAUGUGAAAUCCCCGGGCUGAACCUGGGAAGUGCAUCUGAUACUGGCAAGCUUGAGUCUCGUAGAGGGAGGUAGAAUUCCAGGUGUAGCGGUGAAAUGCGUAGAGAUCUGGAGGAAUACCGGUGGCGAAGGCGGCCUCCUGGGCGAAGACUGACGCUCAGGUGCGAAAGCGUGGGGAGCAAACAGG